This 464-nucleotide ribosomal RNA is filed under the name uncultured bacterium. RNAcentral's name for it is "partial 16S ribosomal RNA". It matches the Rfam family "Bacterial small subunit ribosomal RNA", at positions 339 to 795 of the family's 1533-position model. The record is from RNAcentral.
CUACGGGACGCACCAGUGGGGAAUAUUGCACAAUGGGCGCAAGCCUAAUGCAGCCAUGCCGCGUGUAUGAAGAAGGCCUUCGGGUUGUAAAGUACUUUCAGCGGGGAGGAAGGGAGUAAAGUUAAUACCUUUGCUCAUUGACGUUACCCGCAGAAGAAGCACCGGCUAACUCCGUGCCAGCAGCCGCGGUAAUACGGAGGGUGCAAGCGUUAAUCGGAAUUACUGGGCGUAAAGCGCACGCAGGCGGUUUGUUAAGUCAGAUGUGAAAUCCCCGGGCUCAACCUGGGAACUGCAUCUGAUACUGGCAAGCUUGAGUCUCGUAGAGGGGGGUAGAAUUCCAGGUGUAGCGGUGAAAUGCGUAGAGAUCUGGAGGAAUACCGGUGGCGAAGGCGGCCCCCUGGACGAAGACUGACGCUCAGGUGCGAAAGCGUGGGGAGCAAAUAGGAUUAGAUACCCCCGUAGUC